Prosopis cineraria is the source of this 1745-nucleotide RNA transcript. It is a transcript of the gene named dof zinc finger protein DOF1.2-like, with no coding region annotated. The transcript is spliced from 3 exons. The record is from RefSeq and is a predicted model, not a curated record. Lineage: Eukaryota; Viridiplantae; Streptophyta; Magnoliopsida; Fabales; Fabaceae.
CUUUUUGAGUGUCAAUUUAUUACUUUAAUUAAAAAAAUAUUUUGAAUUCCUUUCCGCACAUCCAGUCCAAUCACCCGUCACUUGCUUGGGACGACACCCCCACGUUCCUCUCUCCUCCUUAUAUUACAUCCAUGUACUCCUCUGCCACCCACAAACACACUCGCUCUUUGCCUCUUGAGAGAUCUCUUUGAUAUGUACGAUGUUGGGUUCUGAAUUCUCAGCCGGGUGUGAUGCCAGUCCCAAGCCAUUGCCCAGUUGGAAACCCAGCCACGUGGAGCCGUCUCCCCCCUGCCCUCGCUGUGCUUCUUCCAACACCAAGUUCUGUUACUACAACAACUACAGCUUAUCCCAGCCUCGCUACCUGUGUAAAUCUUGCCGUCGCUACUGGACCAAAGGCGGUUUCCUCCGCAACGUCCCCAUCGGCGGCGCUGCCCGUAAAUCCCGCCGUACUAAGGCCCCUAGCCUCCCGCCAAACCACCGUCUUUCCAGUUCCACCAACCUUACUCCUAACUCCGCCAAAGACUCCGAGGCUCAUGAUCCGUCCCAAGCCAAUGGGUCGCACAUCGACAUGGCCCUCGUCUUCGCCAACUACUUGAGCUCCGGUCAUGAUUCUAAUGCCGACAACGAUGCUCCUCAGCCGUCCGAUCCCGUCACGGAUGUGGUGCCAGAGGGAGAGAGGCUUCUUCCUCGGGACGAGUCGGUGACGAGUGGAAUUGAGCCGGAGUGGGAAAGCUUGUUAGGUGGCGGCGGUGGACAAGUGGUCCACGAUGUUUUCUGCUUGUCUGAUGCUACGACGUCGUCCUCGUCCGUCACCUGGCAGCCGCCUCUGAUGCAGUUGCAGGAGGAAUUGGAGAAUCCCUUGCCCUUCAAUUAUGACGAGGAUGCUCUUUCUCAAUUGCCCAUCGCCGAUUCCUGGAACUGGAAUUCCUUCGAUUUUUCGACUUUGCAGCUUUAUUUUCUGGACCCAAAACCUAAGUGAUCAGAGAAGUUGCAGAUAGCCGUAAGAAGGCCUAGUAUGUCCGUCGCUUUAAAGUCACGUUGUUUGGUUAUAAGGCAAACAAGUUGCUCCAGUUUUUUCCUUUCUUGGGGAUCAUGGUUGAUACUUGUACGCUGACACACAGCCUCUGCAUUAGUUUGUGACAGGACUGAUAAUAGUACAAUGUUGGGAUAUUGUGGAAGCGACAAGAACCGGACCCUUCAAUCCUCAUCAAUUAUAAGUCACAGGAAUGUGUUGCUUACAACCCCCCAAGACCCUAAUUGGUGGUAUUAUUGCUCAGCUCAAGCCAUUAUUGCUCGCUCUCCUCUCUUCCUACCUCCAAAUGUUACGGACAAAAACCUCUUUCUAUCACCAAUCACAAAUCACAAAUCACCAUUCGUGAACAUGAUUUCCGAGACUUUAAUUUGAUCAUUCAUGUACAUACUCUUCCUCUGAAGCACAGUAAGAAUCCCUUUCUUCUAUUUAAUUGAGACGUAAAAGUAGGGAAGAAAAAGUGCCAGAGGACUCACUUUUAGUGCCAGAAUGUUGUCCAUAUAUGGAUAACACCGCGUAGAGCAGGAUCUAAGGGCUAAAUAUAGUAGAUAUCUGAAUUAUUGAGACACGCACGAGAUAUAAAGUAAUGCAAAUGUCAACCUGUCAAAUGUCAGCUUAUAGGUCUAGUCACGACACCGAGGAGUAUUAUUGGCAGUAUUAUUAAAGACAGUGGGAAGUUAAUCAUGGUGAUGAUGUGAAGUGAUGAUUAUUUUUU